GAGUUACUUUGAGUGAGUGGCGAACUGAUGAGUAACUUGUGGGAAACCUGCCCAGAAGCGGGGGAUAAACCUGGAAUAAGAUGCUAAUACCGCAUAACAACUUGGACCGCAUGGUCCGAGUUUGAAAAAUGGCUUCGGCUAUCACUUUUGGAUGGUCCCGCGGCGUAUUAGCUAGAUGGUGGGGUAACGGCUCACCAUGGCAAUGAUACGUAGCCGACCUGAGAGGGUAAUCGGCCACAUUGGGACUGAGACACGGCCCAAACUCCUACGGGAGGCAGCAGUAGGGAAUCUUCCACAAUGGACGAAAGUCUGAUGGAGCAACGCCGCGUGAGUGAAGAAGGGUUUCGGCUCGUAAAACUCUGUUGUUAAAGAAGAACAUAUCUGAGAGUAACUGUUCAGGUAUUGACGGUAUUUAACCACAAAGCCACGGCUAACUGCUAAUYAGUUCGCCGCCCGGUAAUACGUAGUGGCAGCGUUGUCCGGAUUUAUUGGGCGUAAAGCGACGCGGCGGUUUUUUAAGUYUGAUGUGAAGCCUUCGGCUCAACCGAAGAAGUGCAUCGGAAACUGGGAAACUUGAGUGCAGAAAGGACAGUGGAACUCCAUGUGUAGCGGUGAAAUGCGUAGAUAUUGGAGAACACCAUGGCAAGGCGGCUGUCUGUCUGUAACUGACGCUGAGGCUCGAAAGUAUGGGUAGCAAACAGGAUUAGAUACCCUGGUAGUCCAUACCGUAAACGAUGAAUGCUAAGUGUUGGAGGGUUCCGCCCUUCAGUGCUGCAGCUAACGCAUUAAGCAUUCCGCCUGGGGGAGUACGGCGCAGGGCUAAACUCAAAGAAUUUGACGGGGGCCCCGCACAGCGGGGACCAUGUGGGUUUAAUUUGAACCUACGCGCUAAAACCUUUACCAGGGUCUUGGACUACUAUGCAAAUUAAGAGAUUAGACGUUCCCUUCGGGGACAUGGAUACAGGUGGUGCAUGGUUGUCGUCAGCUCGUGUCGUGAGAUGUUGGGUUAAGUCCCGCAACGAGCGCAACCCUUAUUAUCAGUUGCCAGCAUUAAGUUGGGCACUCUGGUGAGACUGCCGGUGACAAACCGGAGGAAGGUGGGGAUGACGUCAAAUCAUCAUGCCCCUUAUGACUUGGGCUACACACGUGCUACAAUGGAUGGUACAACGAGUUGCGAACUCGCGAGAGUAAGCUAAUUUCCUAAAGCCAGGUUCAGUUCGGAUUGUAGGUUGCAAAUUGCCUACAUGAAGUUGGAAUCGGUUGUAAUCGCGGAUCAGCAUGCCGCUGUGAAUACGUUUUCGGGCUUUGUACACACCGCCCGUCACACCCAGGAGUUGGUAACACCCAAAGUUGGUGGGGUAACCUUUAGGAAUUAGGUGGGUAAGGGGACAG
RNAcentral lists this ribosomal RNA (1392 nucleotides) under Lactiplantibacillus plantarum. RNAcentral's name for it is "bacterial SSU rRNA". It matches the Rfam family "Bacterial small subunit ribosomal RNA". Lineage: Bacteria; Bacillati; Bacillota; Bacilli; Lactobacillales; Lactobacillaceae. The record is from RNAcentral.